AAACCAGCACCUCAAGUGGUCAGGAUGAUUAUUGGGCCUAAAGCAUCCGUAGCCGGCUCUGUAAGUUUUCGGUUAAAUCUGUACGCUCAACGUACAGGCUGCCGGGAAUACUGCAGAGCUAGGGAGUGGGAGAGGUAGACGGUACUCGGGAGGAAGGGGUAAAAUCCUUUGAUCUCUCGAUGACCACCUGUGGCGAAGGCGGUCUACCAGAACACGUCCGACGGUGAGGGAUGAAAGCUGGGGGAGCAAACCGGAUUAGAUACCCGAGUAGUCC
Molecule: ribosomal RNA, 274 nt
Filed under: uncultured bacterium
Lineage: Bacteria
Description: partial 16S ribosomal RNA
Rfam family: Archaeal small subunit ribosomal RNA
Source: RNAcentral